This 253-nucleotide ribosomal RNA is filed under the name uncultured prokaryote. RNAcentral's name for it is "partial 16S ribosomal RNA". It matches the Rfam family "Bacterial small subunit ribosomal RNA", at positions 524 to 776 of the family's 1533-position model. The record is from RNAcentral.
UACGGGGGGAGCAAGCGUUGUUCGGAUUUACUGGGCGUAAAGGGCGCGUAGGCGGUAUGACAAGUCACUUGUGAAAUCUCCGGGCUUAACUCGGAACGGCCAAGUGAAACUGUCAAACUAGAGUGCGGAAGGGGCAAUCGGAAUUCUUGGUGUAGCGGUGAAAUGCGUAGAUAUCAAGAGGAACACCUGAGGUGAAGACGGGUUGCUGGGCCGACACUGACGCUGAUGCGCGAAAGCCAGGGGAGCAAACGGG